AGGGUGUAAACGCUGCAGACUUGGUGUUGGAAGUCCUUUGGGGGCAUUCAGUGCCGGAGAGAAGUUGUUAAGUCUGCUACUUGGGGAGUACGUCCGCAAGGAUGGAACUUAAAGGAAUUGGCGGGGGAGCACCGCAACGGGAGGAGCGUGCGGUCUAAUUGGAUUCAACACCGUAAACUCACCAGGGAAGACUGUUACAUGAAAGCCGAGGUGAAGACUCUGCUAGAUUUUCAGAGGAGGUGCAUGGCGUCAGUGACU
RNAcentral lists this ribosomal RNA (258 nucleotides) under uncultured archaeon. Its description in RNAcentral is "partial 16S ribosomal RNA". It matches the Rfam family "Archaeal small subunit ribosomal RNA", at positions 748 to 1008 of the family's 1478-position model. The record is from RNAcentral.